RNAcentral lists this ribosomal RNA (1342 nucleotides) under metagenome. RNAcentral describes it as "bacterial LSU rRNA". It matches the Rfam family "Bacterial large subunit ribosomal RNA", at positions 1591 to 2925 of the family's 2925-position model. The record is from RNAcentral.
UCUGACUGGAAGGACUUCCAAGAAAAGCCUCUAAGGUAUAGCACAAACGACCGUACCGCAAACCGACUCAGGUGGGUGAGGCGAAUAGCCUAAGGUGCUUGAGAGAACUGAGGUGAAGGAACUCGGCAAAUUAGCUCCGUAACUUCGGGAGAAGGAGUGCCAGAAUGUGUGUAGGAGUACAUCCGUAGCAUUUUCUGGUCGCAGAGAAAUGGCAGAAGCGACUGUUUACCAAAAACACAGGACUGUGCAAAGCCGCAAGGCGCCGUAUACAGUCCGACACGUGCCCGGUGCCGGAAGGUUAACAGGAGAGGUCAGCGCAAGCGAAGCCUUGAAUCGAAGCCCCGGUAAACGGCGGCCGUAACGAUAACGUCCUAAGGUAGCGAAAUUCCUUGUCAGGUAAGUUCUGACCUGCACGAAUCGUGUAACGACUUCUGCGCUGUCUCAACCUCGGACUCAGCGAAAUUGUAGUGCCGGUGAAGAUGCCGGCUACCCGCAUCUGGACAGAAAGACCCUAUGAACCUUUACUGCAACUUGACGUUGGAACUCGGCUGUAUUUGUGUAGGAUAGGUGGGAGACUUUGAAGCAGGGCCGCCAGGUCUUGCGGAGUCGUCGUUGAAAUACCACCCUGGUGCUGACGAGUUUCUAACCGUGUCCGUAAGCCGGACAUGAGACAGCGUCUGGUGGGCAGUUUGACUGAGGCGGUCGCCUCCUAAAAGGUAACGGAGGCAUUCAAAGGUCCCCUCAGCGUGGUCGGUAAUCACGCGCAGAGUGCAAACGCAUAAGGGGGCUUAACUGCGAGACCGACAGGUCGAGCAGGUACGAAAGUAGGAGUUAGUGAUCCCGCGGUUUAGCGUGGAAUUGCCGUUGCUCAAUGGAUAAAAGGUACUCUAGGGAUAACAGGCUGAUCUCCCCCAAGCGUCCAUAGCGACGGGGAGGUUUGGCACCUCGAUGUCGGCUCAUCGCAUCCUGGGGCUGGAGAAGGUCCCAAGGGUUUGGCUGUUCGCCAAUUAAAGCGGUACGUGAGCUGGGUUCAGAACGUCGUGAGACAGUUCGGUCCCUAUCCGAUGUGGGCGUAGGAAGCUUGAUGGAACUUGUCCCUAGUACGAGAGGACCGGGAUGAACGCACCUCUGGUGUACCAGUUGUCACGCCAGUGGCAUCGCUGGGUAGCUAUGUGCGGCAGAGAGAAACGCUGAAAGCAUCUAAGCGUGAAGCUCCUCCAAAGAUGAGGCUUCCCUGGGGGCAACCCCCUGAAGGGCCGUCCGAGACCAGGACGUCGAUAGGUCACAGAUGUAAGCACCGCAAGGUGUUGAGUCGAGUGAUACUAAUCGCCCGUGUGGCUUC